Molecule: ribosomal RNA, 1454 nt
Filed under: Staphylococcus saprophyticus
Lineage: Bacteria; Bacillati; Bacillota; Bacilli; Caryophanales; Staphylococcaceae
Description: bacterial SSU rRNA
Rfam family: Bacterial small subunit ribosomal RNA
Source: RNAcentral
UGGAUGCGGGUGCUAUACAUGCAAGUCGAGCGAACAGAUAAGGAGCUUGCUCCUUUGACGUUAGCGGCGGACGGGUGAGUAACACGUGGGUAACCUACCUAUAAGACUGGGAUAACUUCGGGAAACCGGAGCUAAUACCGGAUAACAUUUGGAACCGCAUGGUUCUAAAGUGAAAGAUGGUUUUGCUAUCACUUAUAGAUGGACCCGCGCCGUAUUAGCUAGUUGGUAAGGUAACGGCUUACCAAGGCGACGAUACGUAGCCGACCUGAGAGGGUGAUCGGCCACACUGGAACUGAGACACGGUCCAGACUCCUACGGGAGGCAGCAGUAGGGAAUCUUCCGCAAUGGGCGAAAGCCUGACGGAGCAACGCCGCGUGAGUGAUGAAGGGUUUCGGCUCGUAAAACUCUGUUAUUAGGGAAGAACAAAUGUGUAAGUAACUGUGCACGUCUUGACGGUACCUAAUCAGAAAGCCACGGCUAACUACGUGCCAGCAGCCGCGGUAAUACGUAGGUGGCAAGCGUUAUCCGGAAUUAUUGGGCGUAAAGCGCGCGUAGGCGGUUUCUUAAGUCUGAUGUGAAAGCCCACGGCUCAACCGUGGAGGGUCAUUGGAAACUGGGAAACUUGAGUGCAGAAGAGGAAAGUGGAAUUCCAUGUGUAGCGGUGAAAUGCGCAGAGAUAUGGAGGAACACCAGUGGCGAAGGCGACUUUCUGGUCUGUAACUGACGCUGAUGUGCGAAAGCGUGGGGAUCAAACAGGAUUAGAUACCCUGGUAGUCCACGCCGUAAACGAUGAGUGCUAAGUGUUAGGGGGUUUCCGCCCCUUAGUGCUGCAGCUAACGCAUUAAGCACUCCGCCUGGGGAGUACGACCGCAAGGUUGAAACUCAAAGGAAUUGACGGGGACCCGCACAAGCGGUGGAGCAUGUGGUUUAAUUCGAAGCAACGCGAAGAACCUUACCAAAUCUUGACAUCCUUUGAAAACUCUAGAGAUAGAGCUUUCCCCUUCGGGGGACAAAGUGACAGGUGGUGCAUGGUUGUCGUCAGCUCGUGUCGUGAGAUGUUGGGUUAAGUCCCGCAACGAGCGCAACCCUUAAGCUUAGUUGCCAUCAUUAAGUUGGGCACUCUAGGUUGACUGCCGGUGACAAACCGGAGGAAGGUGGGGAUGACGUCAAAUCAUCAUGCCCCUUAUGAUUUGGGCUACACACGUGCUACAAUGGACAAUACAAAGGGCAGCUAAACCGCGAGGUCAUGCAAAUCCCAUAAAGUUGUUCUCAGUUCGGAUUGUAGUCUGCAACUCGACUACAUGAAGCUGGAAUCGCUAGUAAUCGUAGAUCAGCAUGCUACGGUGAAUACGUUCCCGGGUCUUGUACACACCGCCCGUCACACCACGAGAGUUUGUAACACCCGAAGCCGGUGGAGUAACCAUUUAUGGAGCUAGCCGUCGAAGUGACAAAUU